GAUUCCUGCAGUUUGAGGAAAGGAAUCUUUAUCGUGUGUGGCAGAAAGGGUGUGCCAUGUUCAUUUUCAGUCUUGUUCCAGGAUUUACAGCAGGUACACCUGUGCCUUUUCUUGACAGUGAAGUUUUAAAUAUAGGAAAUCCUCAGUCAUCACUUUGCCACUUUGAGGUAUGACCUCUUCUCGUAGCAAUGAGUUAGAGCGUGCUUACUAGAAGGGAUGAAAAUCAAACCACGCUCUUGGAAUCACUGUGUUACCCUGCCUUUUUUUUUUUAAUUUUGUGUAUCGAAAUGGUUGCAUCCUUGGGACUUGAGCCUUACUAGCCUGAGCUGCCUCUCUUGCAGGGGAGGUGCGUAGUACAGGACCGCAUCUCGAGGGCUCCCUGCGUGUGUGCUCUGUGCUUCAGGAUAUGGGCACCUGGAGACUGAAGACUUGGAGGAGAGAUGCAAGAUGUGAUUUCAAAGCAUCAAAAAAAGAAUGCUGAUUUCACCAAUGAAGUGGCUAAUCAUAAGAGCUCAGAAGCAGACAUUUCAAAGUGUCUCAGACCUAAAAGGAAAAGAAGGCCUUGGAAUGUUCAGAAGAGGCUUCUGACUGGCCUGGAACCAAUCCCUUAGGCCCUGAGGGAGGACGAUUCUGUAUCAGCCAUAUAAAUGUUAGAUUUUAUUGCAUAUCUGUAUGGGCAGAGCAAAGAGCAGACCAGAUGAACCGGGUGCCGGUGGUGGGGGAAAGCAUGCAUGAGGAUGUUUCUUGUGGACCAGACGUGAGUCCCCAAGGAGAGAAAGCUGUUCCGGAGCCACUUUAAAUCCUGUUUGAGAGGAUACUGCCACAGGGGAUAGACUCCUGGAUUUACAGGGACAGAAGGACCAAACAUGGCUGCUGGAGGAAAUGUUAUUGCUGCUGUCUCUAUAAGUGGAGUCAGUUGUUCUCAGACUAGACUGAGCCACACGUGCCAUCCAAAGAAAGGAGUCAGCAGUAGCCAUGCCUCCCAGUGAGAGAGAACUGACUUCCGCAACUGCUGGAAGAAACCAGCACCGGAUUAUUCUUUUUCUGCCAUUUACCUUUCUUAUUGCUCCAAACCUGCCUAAAUCAGAGUUAGAAACUGAGUUGGGGGGAGAAGCAGUAAGGUAGGGAAAUUGAGAAGCCUCCUGAGCUUCUCGAACCUAGGAGAGGCAAGACACUUUAACGUUAAAAAAUAAAAUUCAGGCUUUAGAAAAUUGCACUAGGCUGGACAUAUUUAUUACUGUUCUUACGCUUGAAAGUGAAUGGAGAUCUUUUUAUUACCUCAUAGUGAUUAAAGAAGUUAUGGACUUUAUCAGAGAUCUCAUGCAGGGAUAGGAAAAUAACUAGGCUCAGAAUGAGUUUAAAGGUCAGUAGGGCAAAGAAUAAAGUUGUUUUCUGAUUGAGCCAAAUGGUCUUGAAUGUUCAGCUUAGUAAAAAAAAAAUCAAGUAACACAUAGUAUGUAGAACCAGCUUUUCUUGACUCUACUUACUUUAAAGAUGAGCAGAAAAAAGGACUUUCUGAGUAUGUGAAAGAUUUCACUAAAGUAAGUAAAUGCAGUUGUGUGUAGUUUUAGAAGUAUCAGAUAGUACAAAAUUGAGUCUUGCUGCAGAAACAAAGCUUCUUCAUUGGCACUGGGGCUGCUGCCACGCCCUCAGUCACCUGUCUGUAGUUUUCAGAAAGUGCCUCUCACCUCCCGUGAGGCUUGGCUCAGGCAGUAGCUAAGCCUCUGAUGAGAGUCUUUUCCUGCUUUGGGG
RNAcentral lists this long non-coding RNA (1752 nucleotides) under Equus caballus (horse). Its description in RNAcentral is "lncRNA (ENSECAG00000050428.1)". The record is from RNAcentral. Lineage: Eukaryota; Metazoa; Chordata; Mammalia; Perissodactyla; Equidae.